AAUUCUUUUUUCAGUCACAGCUUUCAGUGGGGGGUGAUUCCUUUCUCAGUGUGACCUGAAAUGAUCCCCACAUUCUUAUGUGUAAUGCUUUGUCUGCUAAGAGCAGGAGACGGUGGAAUCACCCAGACACCGAGAUACCAGAUCACACAGACAGCAAGAAAGAUGAUCCUGGCGUGCUCUCAGAAUAUGGACCACUAUUGGAUGUUCUGGUAUCGACAAGAUGCAGGACAGGGCUUGAAACUGAUUUAUUACUCAGGAAGCAUUGACAGCACUACCAAAGGAGAUGUCCCUGAAGGGUACAGUGUCUCCAGAAAGGAGACACAGCGCUUUCCCCUGAUAUUAGAGUCAACCAGCCCCAACCAGACCUCCUUGUACUUCUGUGCCAGCAGUGAACACAGCACCACACACCCAGGUGCUGCCUGCAUAAGAAGGACAACCACGAGAUUGAAAUGGGCCCUCCUUCUUCAGCUCUUGCCCCAUGUAAAAGAAAAGUCUGCACUUCCUGAAGCUCUUCUCAGCAAUAGAAUCUCAGCCAGAGGGACCUUGUGCAGCAUGAGCCGUAGUGUGAGCUGA
Molecule: non-coding RNA, 573 nt
Organism: Apodemus sylvaticus (European woodmouse)
Lineage: Eukaryota; Metazoa; Chordata; Mammalia; Rodentia; Muridae
Source: the annotation of a RefSeq genome assembly